UACGAAGGGGGCAAGCGUUGUUCGGAUUUACUGGGCGUAAAGGGCUCGUAGGUGGCCAACUAAGUCAGACGUGAAAUCCCUCGGCUUAACCGGGGAACUGCGUCUGAUACUGGAUGGCUUGAGGUUGGGAGAGGGAUGCGGAAUUCCAGGUGUAGCGGUGAAAUGCGUAGAUAUCUGGAGGAACACCGGUGGCGAAGGCGGCAUCCUGGACCGGCAUUGACGCUGAGGAGCGAAAGCCAGGGGAGCAAACGGG
Molecule: ribosomal RNA, 253 nt
Filed under: uncultured bacterium
Lineage: Bacteria
Description: partial 16S ribosomal RNA
Rfam family: Bacterial small subunit ribosomal RNA
Source: RNAcentral